This 466-nucleotide ribosomal RNA is filed under the name uncultured bacterium. RNAcentral describes it as "partial 16S ribosomal RNA". It matches the Rfam family "Bacterial small subunit ribosomal RNA", at positions 28 to 507 of the family's 1533-position model. The record is from RNAcentral.
GACGAACGCUGGCGGCGCGCCUAACACAUGCAAGUCGAACGAGCGAGAGAGAGCUUGCUUUCUCGAGCGAGUGGCGAACGGGUGAGUAACGCGUGAGGAACCUGCCUCAAAGAGGGGGACAACAGUUGGAAACGACUGCUAAUACCGCAUAAGCCCACGACCCGGCAUCGGGUAGAGGGAAAAGGAGCAAUCCGCUUUGAGAUGGCCUCGCGUCCGAUUAGCUAGUUGGUGAGGUAACGGCCCACCAAGGCGACGAUCGGUAGCCGGACUGAGAGGGUGAACGGCCACCUUGGGACUGAGACACGGCCCAGACUCCUACGGGAGGCAGCAGUGGGGAAUAUUGCACAAUGGGGGAAACCCUGAUGCAGCGACGCCGCGUGGAGGAAGAAGGUCUUCGGAUUGUAAACUCCUGUUGUUGAGGAAGAUAAUGACGGUACUCAACAAGGAAGUGACGGCUAACUACGUG